CACCUAUUGAUAGGCAUUGAUAGCUGCCGAUCGAGAGGCAUGCAGAGCUUUUGGUCUGGGCACCAUGUUGCUCUUGGUAGGCACUGAGGCCUGUCGACAUUGGCCGUUGUCAGGGUCAAGGGCCCUUCCUGAGGAUGGAUUUCCAUAUGUGUUGCUCGGGAACAACAUGCAUAGAUAUCGAGCCCUCUCGGUCUGCAUUGAUAGCUCUGCAUCCUGAUGGGUGUCGAUCAGGUUCACUCUCCCUAGGGAUCGAGUGUUAUUGAUAACCACCGCUGGGCAUCCCUGCCCAUAGCCAGUGAUAGUUCUCAAUGUCCACUGGCCUCUCGAGCGAUACGACUAUCGCUGUCAAGGGCACCAUCUCUCAGGAGGCUUCGAUGCCUUUUGAUUUGCACAGCCUUGGGUAGGGAUUGAUGGGCAUGGGUAACUGUCGAUGCCUCAUGAUAUUGAUGCCUAUUGAUCCCUUUUGAUAGCUGUCAAUCUCGUCAGACAUGUUUAGCUUUUGAGCUGGGGCCAAUUUGCUUCUUGUUGAGCAUUGAAUGAGUCUUGACAUUGAUACCUCUCUAUAGCGAGGGCCAUCGAUGCCUGUUGAAUUCCAUACCUAUCGAUAGGCGUCGAUAUCAUUCAGCAUCAAUAAAUAUCAAUGCCGAUCGAUAUCGACACCUAUCGAUAGGUAUCUUAACAUCUGCUCUUAAAUAGAUUUAGUCAGGUUAAUACUUCCUCACUGCCCUUCACUCAGACAUUUUAACCUGCCUUUAAAAGGACAUCCAUUUGAAAUGCACUGUUUAAAAAAUAGUAUUUACAGUCAUUUCAAAUACAAUAUUCCAGCAGUUUUUCUCUCCAUGCUGUCAUGAUUUCUUGUUAUUACUGACAGUCCUUUCUCCUGGUAUCUAUCUGUCUCUGAUAAAAGUCACUCUUCAAGAAAGGGCUCAGGAUCAAACUGAUAUCUCUCCAUCAUUCUAUCGAUUAAGUUUAUGCUCUAGCAAACAUGAAGGAUUACGUUGCAGUGGCUGGUGUGAUAAGAUAUAAGUGCAAGGUGGAGGAAGCUUGCCACAUAAACUGGUGCAGUCUUCCCUCUACUUCAAAUAGAAGCAGACAAGGAGAACAUGUUCUCAGUGUCUUACAAUCUGCAAUGAGUCAGGAUCCUGCAAAGUAAUAUGCAGAUAUUAAUGCUUCAGAAAUGAAACAUGUAGCUUUAGUACAAAGCACUUUCAAAACACAACAUAAACUAAUGCAAGGCCUUGGUUUUGACCAGUCAGAGGGGGUUCAUUGGUUUAAUACUGCAGCAGCUAAUGCAAAGUUACAACCAAGGAAGCUUUAGCAAACAGUCUUUUACUGUGUUGUCCUCAUGUAAGUUAUGAUAUAUUCUCACACAGGUAUAGUGUAUCUCACAUAUCAUGAAGUUAUCUGGACAGCUGCAUUACUGGUGUAGAUGACAUGGCUAUUGAAGAAAGAGGUGUCCUGCACCAGAGUUAGAGCAGCACUGUGCUCUCAAGGAUCUCAGCACUGUUGGGUCACUGGCCAGGAAAUUCCAGUACUGAUCUUACUUCAGCAGGAACAACUGGAGGUUUGUUAUACUGGCAAACACUUGGCCAGCUUCAAGACACUAACACAUCUGUCUCAACAAGAUAUUAAUGCUUUAUACCUCUGGCAAGAACAACACAAACUAUGUGGCCAUGACCAACACAAGCUAAGUGUUUUGUUUGCUCUUCUUUUAUACAUUGAUCAAAUGUUUAUUAUUUUCUACCCAAUUUUGAAGAGUCUGGUAACUUGUACCAGAAAUUUAUACUGAUCUGUAUUUUGACAUUGCACCCUUAUCAUCCAGGCAAAGAGCGAUCCUUCUGCCUAAUAUGCCGGCCUCCCGUCUCACUUCAUGACAGGACCAUGUGUGGUAUAAGCUGUACCUGCACAGCUCCUGUGGGGUCUGAGACACACUGGCCUGUGUCCCAGCAGUGCCUUUCUGCAUGCAGUAGAUGUGCUGAACAAUGCUCUUACAAGCUGAUACUGUUCACAGAAGAUUUCGUUCAAAAACAUGAAUUAAAAAUUUUUCAGCUAUGAAGAAGGUCACAUGAACUGACAAUCUUGCCUGACUUUAAAGUCUUUGAGUGACCACUAAUAGAUCUCUAAGACCUCUCCUCAAAUGGGACCAAAAACGCUUCUGUUUGCUUUUGGAAAGCUUUAAAAGCAGGCUGAAACCAGUAGGCUAAACCAGAUUAAGUGGUGGUGACUCGCAUUCUGUCUACAUUAGCAGAUAAGUCAAUGCAAUAGAAACAAACAAUAAGGUAGCCUUGAGGCUCUUCACGUCCUCAUUCUCUUUGGUUCAGGAGGUUUGCUUCAAAUAGAUCUAAUUUGCCACUAGAUAGGGUUCAAAACUUUUGAAAAGGAAACCUGAAAACAAUCAAAUAUAAAUAUAUAUAAAUAACAUUGCUGCAAAUAGAUGUUAAUAACAACUAGAUUAAGAUUAAUUUUAAAACAUAUAUAUAUAUAUAUAUUGUUUUUACCACUGUUGUGUGUGUUUUACCAUGUGUUGUGUUUUAUCGUAUUGUUGUGUAAUAUGAAUAUCCAGGAACCCUGUGAAAUCUGGGAACUCUAAACUAGGAAUGUAUACAAGACAAAGAAUGUGGUAGGGUUAUCUUGAACCACACCUGGAAAAACAUCACAUCCUGAAAGAAUCUUAGUCUGCAUCUGAAGUAAAUAAACCAUGUUAUCUUGAUUAGCAAAUAUGCAUGAAGACUAUUAACUACCUUGAUGGGUGGUCUACAAAUAAACAGGAUACAAGUUAAAGAGAAAAGCAGCCACUGUGAGAAAAUCAGCCUUUCUCAGAGCAGAGAUGGAAUCACUCCUAGACUGCCUCUAUGAAACUGCAAGAAACACCGCUUGGCUUCCUGUCUUCCUCAGAACUGAUCCCUCUGGUAUCCUGAUCGGUACAGCUAUGCAUGCCUUCAGGCAAGAGUGGACUUCUUGGGUAGCACAGCCCUUUCUACAGCAGGAUGCAAUGGUGUGUCCCACCAGUCAACAGUCACCUGGGGUGUCUGGCACCUGAGGCACCACACUGCAGCACUGUGUGAAAAUACAGUGAUAAGAAAUGAGAUGACACCACAGAAACCCUCAACUCUGGUAGCACUACAUGGGAAUAUAGUGAUAAGAAGUAAAAACAAAAUAAUUAUAAAGGAACAUCAGAGCCUCGUUGGAUAAAGAGACAAUCAGGCUUGUGCUUGGUUUAAACUGCUGCUUUUGUGGGGAACUAUAAAAAGAUUAGCACCAUCCUACACACUGUGGUGGUCCCUGCUCCAGAGAGCUGGAUGGAGCUCAGGACCUCCCACCCAGUGAGGAGGGGAUGCCUGCACCCUGAUUUCUGUGACAGAUGGGGCAUCAAGGUGUCCAAAUUUCGUAAGACAGCAACUUAACUGUGAACCUAAAGCAUGUGCAGAAUAAUAUUUAGUGCCCGGCUAUAGCAAAUUAGGCUGAGAGAUUAAUCUAAGAUUGAGUAAUAAAUGCUUAUUUGUUUGGGGCUGUGCCACACCUAGCGUCCUUGCUCUUUUAUGGUCCUGCUUAAGUUGUCAACAUUCAAAAGAAGCCUUGGAGCAUCACCACCUUGGUGCAACACCACAGACAGGAUGGAAACACUACUCACUGUUGGCUCCAAAAGGUAGCAAAAAGGCAUAUCCAAACCCUGCCCACAGUCACCAGCCUAAGAAAAAACAUGGAGAAAUGAGGACGAUUUGAUAGCUGGCAUUGCUUGUCCUCCCUGUCGUCACAAGAGAUCUUGGAGCCAACAUCUGGAUACAUGCAUUGGGGUACCUGGCUACUGGUUGGACAGCUCAGGCGCCCCUGCCCUGGGGCAUGACCACUGGGCAGACUCCUUGGCCACCACUCAUUCUGGUGCUUGUGACAGAAAGCAUGAGAGUGAAACCUGUUUUAUUUCAGUUUUUAUUUUAAAUAAAAUUACCUUCCCCUCCUAUAAGGUCUUGCAAGGAUAUUUGCUACCUUGUUCAUAGGUUUUGCACAAGUAUUUCCUGCAUAAUAAAGCCUCUUGAAGUCAACCCAAUCUUUUUACUGUCUUCAACUUAAUUGGCUUUGGAGAAGCCCUUUCCCAUCCUGAUGACACUACCAUUAUUCCUAAAAAUGUUAGUUUUAGCAUAUUUCUUGUGUCAUCAUUGCACUUUCUCCAUCAUUAUCUUAGUAGCAUUCCAGCCUAAAUGGAACUUUCAUGUCUAAUAUUCAGGUGAAAAACUAAAAUUAGGGAAGGAAACAACAUCCUUUAUACCAGGCAGAGGGAAAAAAAAACCCAAAACAGAAACAAAACAAACCACAAGAGCACACAUCCUCUUUUCAUUUCCUUGUUUUGGAAUGCACAUCACCUUUAACAUAUUAUACAAAACACACAUGGAUAUUAGAGCAGCCAUACCAUUUUGCUGACUUACCAUGCUUCUCAAGUAUUUGUUAUGAUUUAAUCUCCAACAAUGCUGAUUAACAGUCAUCGAAUAGCUGCUCUGACCUUCUCCUCCGAAAUCCCAUUGGGAGAUGAUCCCUUAUCAGGGACUCUAUUAGUUUCCUUGGUAUUCAAGAUAUCAAUUAAAUUGAUUUAAGCUUUUUUAGCCUUUUGUUAGGAGUUUGAAAUGGGUGAGGAAAAAAUACUACUCUGCUGCACCAUAUCAGUGUGCCACAGCAACAUCUCAAAGGUAUCUCUGUUGAUUUCUCUUGAGGAUCGAGAAGGAAUAGAGGUAUAGUUAUCUACAAAAUGUCCACAACAGUUCUACCUUCACAUAUCAGUAUUUCUGAUAUGCUCUUUUGACCACUCUAUGCUAGCCCAGUGUUAUAUAUCCUUAAAUAUAUUUUUGGCUGUGUUGUCCUUCGCUGUACUUACGCUAAACUGCAUGAAAUAGCGUGUUUUCAGAAAGCCUUUCUGUUCAUGCUUACAUGAAUGGAUGGAAAAUAUGCUACUAACAGAACUGAACUGCUCUUGGGAUCACGCUACUUUCUUGACUCCUUUCAUAAAGGGUUGUGACCUGAAUAGUGAUUUGCAGUGCAUGCCAAGAAAGGACAGCUGCAGGCAAAAAUAAGUAAAUAAAUAAAUAAACCAAAACCACAAAUAUUUAUCUUUAUAGUCAAGUCUGCAAGGAUAAGAUAAAAGUUCUUAUUCUACACUCCAAAAAUACUUUUGUAUCUGAGAAAACUGUAUGGAGUCUGAAGCAGUACAGUGGAAGUGUCUACAUUUUGUCAGUAAUUGUGAGAUGUCUAUAUACAACAUCAGUUAAGCUUGCUCCAGGCUUUUGUUACCAUCCCAUUCUCUUAAUGGUGAUACAUGGCUGUUUGUUUCGCUACGCAUUAUAAGUUCAAUCAAUAAACUAAUUUAAUUAGAGCAUUUUAGACAAAAGAUCUCUUUCCUGAAGACGAACUCAUACCUGAGAUGACUUUGACCAAACUGCAAACCUUACUCUUUAGCCCAAGAGCAGUCAAAAACACUUCUUUCUGUGCAUAUGCAACAUCUGGUUAAAAGUAAAUAAGUCAGUAAAUAAGUAAAUUAAAUAAUUAGUGUUAUAUGAAUUCAUCUAAUAUGCUCUGUAUCUUUCUUCAUUUACCUGUUGAUGAAGAAGGUAUAAAAUUAAAAUAUUUUUACAUCA
This is a long non-coding RNA of Dromaius novaehollandiae (emu), 5621 nucleotides long. RefSeq lists it as uncharacterized. NCBI's taxonomy places the organism in Eukaryota, Metazoa, Chordata, Aves, Casuariiformes, Dromaiidae. The transcript is spliced from 3 exons. The record is from RefSeq and is a predicted model, not a curated record.